Molecule: long non-coding RNA, 391 nt
Filed under: Panax ginseng (ginseng)
Lineage: Eukaryota; Viridiplantae; Streptophyta; Magnoliopsida; Apiales; Araliaceae
Description: long non-coding RNA (PGIN_LNC014396)
Source: RNAcentral
UGAGUUUGGAAAUUGUAGAUAAUUUGUGCUGCAUGCUUAAUUUCUGAAAUAUGUGUGCAAUUUACUUCUUCUUAGGUCUAUUUAUUUAUUUUGGUUGUCAAGUAAUCUCAUGCCUUCACAUUGAGAGUCACCUUACCCUCCAAUUCACUGUAAUAUGUGGCAGCAUCCAUGAAAAAGGGUUCCAAAGUGUUUGUUGUCACAUGUGGCUAGAGUUCAAAUUAGAUGAAACUUAUAAAAUAUUUUUUGAAGAAUUUUAAGAUUCUGAACUGAAUGGUGAUUUGUUGUGCUAGAUAGUUUUCUCAGAAUAAUGGAGUCAGAAUUUCUUAAGGAGAUAUUACUGUUUCCUAGAGGGCCAGAGGCUCUACCACCUGAAAUAAGUUGAUGUUUACCG